GUGGAUGUAGCUCAGUUGGCAAAGUGCUUGCCUUGCAUGCACAAGGCCCUGGGUUCAAUCCCCAGCACCCCCU
This 73-nucleotide transfer RNA is filed under the name Ictidomys tridecemlineatus (thirteen-lined ground squirrel). Its description in RNAcentral is "Spermophilus tridecemlineatus (thirteen-lined ground squirrel) tRNA". It matches the Rfam family "tRNA". From Rfam's summary of the family: Transfer RNA (tRNA) molecules are approximately 80 nucleotides in length. Lineage: Eukaryota; Metazoa; Chordata; Mammalia; Rodentia; Sciuridae. The record is from Rfam by way of RNAcentral.